RNAcentral lists this ribosomal RNA (253 nucleotides) under uncultured bacterium. RNAcentral describes it as "partial 16S ribosomal RNA". It matches the Rfam family "Bacterial small subunit ribosomal RNA", at positions 524 to 776 of the family's 1533-position model. The record is from RNAcentral.
UACGAAGGGGGCUAGCGUUGUUCGGAAUUAUUGGGCGUAAAGCGCACGUAGGCGGCUUUGUAAGUUAGAGGUGAAAGCCCGGGGCUCAACUCCGGAAUUGCCUUUAAGACUGCAUCGCUAGAAUUGUGGAGAGGUAAGUGGAAUUCCGAGUGUAGAGGUGAAAUUCGUAGAUAUUCGGAAGAACACCAGUGGCGAAGGCGACUUACUGGACACAUAUUGACGCUGAGGUGCGAAAGCGUGGGUAGCAAACAGG